RNAcentral lists this ribosomal RNA (306 nucleotides) under Paenibacillus sp. UFPI CB11-7B. RNAcentral's name for it is "bacterial SSU rRNA". It matches the Rfam family "Bacterial small subunit ribosomal RNA", at positions 60 to 349 of the family's 1533-position model. The record is from RNAcentral. Lineage: Bacteria; Bacillati; Bacillota; Bacilli; Caryophanales; Paenibacillaceae.
GCAGUCGAGCGGGGUUACUUAGAAGCUUGCUUCUAAGUAACCUAGCGGCGGGACGGGUGAGUAACACGUAGGCAACCUGCCCACAAGACAGGGAUAACUACCGGAAACGGUAGCUAAUACCCGAUACAUCCUUUUCCUGCAUGGGAGAAGGAGGAAAGGCGGAGCAAUCUGUCACUUGUGGAUGGGCCUGCGGCGCAUUAGCUAGUUGGUGGGGUAAAGGCCUACCAAGGCGACGAUGCGUACCCGACCUGAGAGGGUGAUCGGCCACACUGGGACUGAGACACGGCCCAGACUCCUACGGGAGGC